UACGUAGGGUGCAAGCGUUGUCCGGAAUUAUUGGGCGUAAAGGGCUCGUAGGCGGUUUGUCGCGUCGGGAGUGAAAAUCCAGGGCUUAACUCUGGACUGGCUUCCGAUACGGGCAGACUAGAGUAUGCAGGGGAGAACGGAAUUCCUGGUGUAGCGGUAGAAAUGCGCAGAUAUCAGGAGGAACACCGGUGGCGAAGGCGGUUCUCUGGGCAUUACCUGACGCUGAGGAGCGAAAGUGUGGGGAGCGAACAGG
Molecule: ribosomal RNA, 253 nt
Filed under: uncultured bacterium
Lineage: Bacteria
Description: partial 16S ribosomal RNA
Rfam family: Bacterial small subunit ribosomal RNA
Source: RNAcentral